AGUCGAACGCUUCUUUUUCCACCGGAGCUUGCUCCACCGGAAAAAGAAGAGUGGCGAACGGGUGAGUAACACGUGGGUAACCUGCCCAUCAGAAGGGGAUAACACUUGGAAACAGGUGCUAAUACCGUAUAACAAUCAAAACCGCAUGGUUUUGAUUUGAAAGGCGCUUUCGGGUGUCGCUGAUGGAUGGACCCGCGGUGCAUUAGCUAGUUGGUGAGGUAACGGCUCACCAAGGCCACGAUGCAUAGCCGACCUGAGAGGGUGAUCGGCCACAUUGGGACUGAGACACGGCCCAAACUCCUACGGGAGGCAGCAGUAGGGAAUCUUCGGCAAUGGACGAAAGUCUGACCGAGCAACGCCGCGUGAGUGAAGAAGGUUUUCGGAUCGUAAAACUCUGUUGUUAGAGAAGAACAAGGAUGAGAGUAACUGUUCAUCCCUUGACGGUAUCUAACCAGAAAGCCACGGCUAACUACGUGCCAGCAGCCGCGGUAAUACGUAGGUGGCAAGCGUUGUCCGGAUUUAUUGGGCGUAAAGCGAGCGCAGGCGGUUUCUUAAGUCUGAUGUGAAAGCCCCCGGCUCAACCGGGGAGGGUCAUUGGAAACUGGGAGACUUGAGUGCAGAAGAGGAGAGUGGAAUUCCAUGUGUAGCGGUGAAAUGCGUAGAUAUAUGGAGGAACACCAGUGGCGAAGGCGGCUCUCUGGUCUGUAACUGACGCUGAGGCUCGAAAGCGUGGGGAGCAAACAGGAUUAGAUACCCUGGUAGUCCACGCCGUAAACGAUGAGUGCUAAGUGUUGGAGGGUUUCCGCCCUUCAGUGCUGCAGCUAACGCAUUAAGCACUCCGCCUGGGGAGUACGACCGCAAGGUUGAAACUCAAAGGAUUUGACGGGGGCCCGCACAAGCGGUGGAGCAUG
This 911-nucleotide ribosomal RNA is filed under the name Enterococcus durans. Its description in RNAcentral is "bacterial SSU rRNA". It matches the Rfam family "Bacterial small subunit ribosomal RNA", at positions 60 to 941 of the family's 1533-position model. The record is from RNAcentral. Lineage: Bacteria; Bacillati; Bacillota; Bacilli; Lactobacillales; Enterococcaceae.